This 912-nucleotide small RNA is filed under the name Drosophila pseudoobscura pseudoobscura. RNAcentral's name for it is "GA32663". The record is from RNAcentral. Lineage: Eukaryota; Metazoa; Arthropoda; Insecta; Diptera; Drosophilidae.
AAUUUUAUUUUUGAAAACUUUUCGAUCUUGUAAUACUUUUUAAACUUUUCAAAAGUAGUUGCAACUAAGAAAGCAUUAUUGAUUAUUUCGAUUUGAAAAAUGAUUAAAUAAUCAACACUAAACAAAAUUGUGAAAACAAACAUUAUCAUAGAUCUCUUCUGAAUCCUUCUUUUCGGAUGCUUUGAGAAAUGGUGUGGUCGAGGUGGUGGUUGGUGGUGAUACUGCCCUCCGGAUUGUGUGGAUUGUACAAGACGCGUAUGUUAUGCGAUUCGGUCUGAUAUCAAAAGUUAUAGCAGUUAUACAUAUGCAUGUGGAAAGAACGAGAGUGUAUGGUGCAAGACAAGGACCGAAAAGUCCAACAGUUAUAUCGAUAACUGUGAUGUGCCUUCAUUUCGGAGAUACAAUAUGCCAAAAGCAAUUAAAAUCCAGCACAUCGCCUGCGUCCUUUUGGAAUUUAUCGGGUGGACAUAUACCAUUUAUAUAUAGAUAUACACAGAUAGAGAAAUAGAGAGAGAAAGAGAAAGAGGACGGACGCAGGGGACUCUUCGCUCAGCAAAAUUAAUGUGACACGCUUUCAACUGAACCCAGCAGACAUUUACGCCGUUGGUAUGGGUGUGUGUCGGGUUUUAGUAAUACAGUGACUGCAAUUUGUUCAGCUACUCGCGUGUCGCCCAGCGCAAAGACAGACAGAUUGGUGGACUAAGUUAAGUUUUAAUCAUAAUUUGGGUUUCUUUUCGCAAACACCUAAAGCCCAUCAAAAUUAAUAACGAAAACUGGUAGCUAUUUUCUUUUUUGUACUCUCUUCAAACGAACGCGUGCAUUGUAUGUUGACAGUUUUACAUUUAGAGCAAUAUUGAAAUUAAAUCACAUCAAAUAACCGAUAAUCGAUAAUAAAUGACCACCACCAGUUGA